RNAcentral lists this transfer RNA (72 nucleotides) under Schistocerca americana (American grasshopper). Its description in RNAcentral is "tRNA-Pro". It matches the Rfam family "tRNA". Rfam says of the family: Transfer RNA (tRNA) molecules are approximately 80 nucleotides in length. Lineage: Eukaryota; Metazoa; Arthropoda; Insecta; Orthoptera; Acrididae. The record is from RNAcentral.
GGCCUGUUGGUCUAGGGAUAUGAUUCCUGCUUUGGGUGCAGGAGGUCCCGGGUUCAAAUCCCGGACAGGCCC